AGGACGAACGCUGGCGGCGUGCUUAACACAUGCAAGUCGAGCGGAAAGGCCCUUCGGGGUACUCGAGCGGCGAACGGGUGAGUAACACGUGAGUAAUCUGCCCCUAGCUCUGGGAUAGCUCCGGGAAACCGGGAUUAAUACCGGAUACGACCACUUUAGACAUCUGUUGUGGUGGAAAGAAUUUUGGCUAGGGAUGAGCUCGCGGCCUAUCAGCUUGUUGGUGGGGUAAUGGCCUACCAAGGCGACGACGGGUAGCCGGCCUGAGAGGGCGACCGGCCACACUGGGACUGAGACACGGCCCAGACUCCUACGGGAGGCAGCAGUGGGGAAUAUUGCGCAAUGGGCGAAAGCCUGACGCAGCGACGCCGCGUGGGGGAUGAAGGCCUUCGGGUUGUAAACCCCUUUCGAUCGGGAAGAUAAUGACGGUACCGAUAUAAGAAGCCCGGCUAACUUCGCGCCAGCAGCCGC
Molecule: ribosomal RNA, 468 nt
Filed under: uncultured bacterium
Lineage: Bacteria
Description: SSU rRNA
Rfam family: Bacterial small subunit ribosomal RNA
Source: RNAcentral